GUUGCGAUAUAUAAACCAUAGUCUGCGUUUAUAUAGCCUAAUCCCUUCUGCGCUCUCUCUCUCUCUCUCUCUCUCUCUCUGACAAACCCUAGAUCUCUGUAGAACAUGUCUGGUAUGUACGGACAAGAAGCCGGCGAGUCCGGCCCCCCUCCGCACUACGGAGCUACCGGCGGUGCUGGAGGAUACGAUGGGGGAGGCUAUGGCGGUAGUGGCGGAGGAUAUGGUGGAAGUGGCGGCUCUGGUGGAUACGGUGGGGGCGGUGCUGGUGGUGGUGCGGGAGGCUAUGGAGGAGGAAAUAGCGACGGUGGUUAUGGCGGCCGUGGCGGCCGAGGGGGUGGAGGCGGAUAUGGUGGUCGAGGCUAUCCUGGAGGAGAUCGUGGUGGCCGAGGCGGUGGAGGUGGUGGCCGAGGAGGAGGAGGUGGUGGUGGUGGACGUGGUGGGAGUGGCAGAGACGGAGAUUGGCUUUGCCCUAAUCCAGGAUGUGGGAACUUGAACUUUGCCAGAAGAACUGAAUGUAACAAAUGCGGUGCACCAUCACCUGCGGGUGCAGGUGAUCGUGGGGGUAGCGGAGGCGGUUACAAUAGAGGUGGAAGUGGUGGUGGAUAUGGUGGUAGUCGAGGUGGUAAUUAUGGUGGUAGAAGCAGUGAAUAUAAUGGAGGUAGAGGCGGUAAUAAUGAUGGUAGAGGUGGGGGAGGCAAUAGGGGUGGUUCAUAUGGAAAAGAAGAAGGUGUAUAUGGUCAGGCUCCUUCAGCAGCACCACAACCUUUUUAUGGUGGGGCUGGUGGCAACCAGCCGCCACCUUACAAUUCAUAUGGUGAGAACGCAAAUUAUGGAAUGGAUGCUGUUCCUCCGCCUACAAACUAUGCUGGAGGGCCUACAUCGUAUGCACCAUCUUAUGGCGGCCCUCCUGUGGGUGGUUAUGGUGGUGAUGGUCCUGGAAAUGUAAGAGGUGGCAGCCGUGGUGGCGCACCCGGUGGAUACGAUAGUGGACGUGGUGCUGGUGGUCGAGGUGGAUAUGGUGGUGCUCCUGCUGAGGCCCCUGCUGCUAAGGUGAAGCAGUGUGACGAGAAUUGUGACGAUACUUGUGACAAUGCAAGAAUCUACAUAUCAAAUUUGCCACCAGACGUGACGACUGAAGAACUAAGGGAGCUCUUCGGAGGCAUUGGACAAGUUGGAAGAAUCAAGCAAAAACGGGGAUAUAAGGAUCAAUGGCCCUGGAAUAUAAAAAUAUAUACAGAUGAGACGGGAAAUAACAAAGGUGAUGCAUGUUUGGCCUUUGAAGAUCCAUCCGCUGCACAUUCAGCUGGAGGCUUUUUCAACGAUUACGAUAUGAGGGGAUAUAAAAUCAAUGUUGUGAUGGCAGAGAAGUCUGCACCAAAAGCUCCACCUAGCUUUGACCACCGGGGUGGAGGUAGAGGUGGAUAUGGAGGAGAUAGGCGCAGGGAUAAUUAUAGAGACGGAUCUGGACCUGACAGACAUCAGCAUGGUGGGAAUCGAUCGCGUCCUUAUUAAGGAACCUCAGCAUAAAGCAUGUUUUGUAACUAUGAAUUAUGGUCUGAGAUUUUAUUGUGUUCCUAUGGCGGGAUACUUGAACUGGAGACUAAGAGAGGCAAGUGGAUAAUCUCCAAAUUGCUUGCUGCUAAGUUUGUGUUUUGCGUCCAUGUUCUAGGCAGUGUCUGGAAUAAUCUCCUUGAAAAGGUUGGAUGGUUUAUAGCAUGACAGAGUGGCCUUGAUGAAAUUUUGACCGUUUAUGGAAGCGUUAGUGGGUUCGUCUUGAUUGUAGUUCGCCCGUCAGAUUCUAGUUUUUAUGCUUGUUAUGUGCCUCGAGUGUCUUACACCGAACCUAUUGACAUCUUCAACUGUCCAAUGAUUUGCCUUGUCUUUAUAUAAACGUGUGAAUCCAUGAGAUUACACUGAACCUAAUGACAUCUUCAACUGUUCAAUGAUUUGUCGUGCUCUUGAGGAUUUGUUGUGCGCUUGAGGGUUUAUGUUUUGAUUGUCAGUUUGUCUGAACACAGAAUGUCAAUAUUUAGGGAUGUAGUUGGUAUGCCCUUUUAAGUUAUUGGUGAGGCUGCAGAUCUUGAUGCACCUCUCGAGUGGGGCUUUGGAGCUGUAAACUUAGAGAUAUUCUGGAUUACCUGACAACGUUUUGGUGGAUGGGGUGGUGUAUCUGAGGUCUACUCUCCCAAUGGUAGGCCAAAGGAUCAAUCUUUGGCUCUAUUUGUGCA
Molecule: RNA transcript, 2228 nt
Organism: Juglans microcarpa x Juglans regia
Lineage: Eukaryota; Viridiplantae; Streptophyta; Magnoliopsida; Fagales; Juglandaceae
Gene name: transcription initiation factor TFIID subunit 15b
Exons: 8
Source: RefSeq, a predicted model, not a curated record